Alosa sapidissima (American shad) is the source of this 1436-nucleotide long non-coding RNA. RefSeq lists it as uncharacterized. The record is from RefSeq and is a predicted model, not a curated record. The transcript is spliced from 4 exons. Lineage: Eukaryota; Metazoa; Chordata; Actinopteri; Clupeiformes; Clupeidae.
GCCAAGUGCCUAAAAUAUCGGUUUCCAUGUGUAUGUGCUGGAUGGUGUGCGUCCUUUAUAAAAGCUACCAUCAGGCUCCUAAGGGGAAUCAUGUUGAUGGAAUCUAUUAAAAUGCACAUCAGCACAUGUUUUAUGAAGGACAGAUUGUGAAGAUUGUUGGAUUACACAAAUACAUGAAUAAUAUGACUGGAAAUUGAGUUUGUCAGAAUAUACAUGAGUUCACCAAGGACAGUCCCUCUCAGAGGAGGCAGCCAGGAGCUAAAGUCUACUCAUAUUGCACUUUAAAGAUAUGAUUCAAAGUGGAUAAAACCUCUAAGGUAGACAUAAGGAGAAUGUUAAGUUGAUCAUGCAGAACAUCGAUGUGUCUCUUGUGUUUACUGCUUGGGGAACUUGCAGCGUGGAAACAUCUCCAGCCAUAUAACCAGCAGAUCAAAGUUGGCCUGAGCAGUCACUGGGACUUCACAGCGCUACACAGUCGGGGGAUUCAAGGAUUGUUGAGCAAAGGUUUUUCUUUGGCAGAGGUCAGAUUUCUUCCCCCUCGCUCAAUUCUGUUUUAACGCCAGAGGACAAAACUGGACAAGUUCCUACUUUUACAUGUAACAAGGGAGGUGACAUGAAAUCAAAACUUUUCAGCAAAAGUGAUGUUUGAAUUCAUUUUCUUUCCAAAUUAUUGUUUGAGCUGCAACAGAAAAUCAUUACACUUGACAUGUGUCAUAGGCUCCAUUCAAGGCUUAACAAAUGAGAGCCUAUUAUUUAGCUUGCCAUUUCAAUUGAAGUCUGUUGAAAACUAGUGUGGCAAGUCUCUCACAACAUUAGGGUUUCAUUUCACAAGGUUCCAGCAGUUCCGGAUGCUAGCAUAGUUGUUUUUUUUUUUUGUUUUUCUUUUAAAAUGGUAUGCUGUUUUUUUAGUGCCAUUCGAGUUAUAUGUGCACUUUCACAAUUUCCCAGCUCUGUCUUUCUCCAUCUCAGCGCCUGUUCAUUUUUAAAGCCUCCUGUUGCCCAUUACAUUGUGUCUCAGGUAUCAUCAGGUCAGCAGCAGCAAGGGCAGCAGCGGUAUGCUGCAUUAGUGUAGCCUAUACAGAUAUUUUUCCGUACAAGAUGUUUCAUUAGUAGAAUUUCCCUUUACUGUUAAAAGAUAAAGGGCACGUUAAUUAUACACCUAAAACAAGAUCUUACAUAAUAGCCUAUCAUGGACAAUGUGAUAAUAGCCUAUCAAGUCCAAUAACUUAUCACUUCACUUUGUGUGUGAUUUUAUUCACAUACAAAGUGAAACAUGCAUGUGGUUAUACAUGCAUGUGGUUAAACUGUAUAGCAAAAGAAAUGUAUGGCUUUUUGUCCAUAACUUAAAAAGUAGGAAUACAUUUCUUUCUUGUCAACAAAUUGUGAACCUGCAACCCAUCAGCACCUGGCUUCAAGACACAGCUGGCUGUGCAAAG